GGAGAGGUGUCCGAGCCGGCCGAAGGAGCUCGCCUGCUAAGCGAGUAUACGGGCUUAAACCUGUAUCGAGAGUUCGAAUCUCUCCCUCUCCGCCA
RNAcentral lists this transfer RNA (95 nucleotides) under Desulfovibrio sp. OttesenSCG-928-M14. RNAcentral describes it as "tRNA-Ser". It matches the Rfam family "tRNA". Rfam says of the family: Transfer RNA (tRNA) molecules are approximately 80 nucleotides in length. Their secondary structure includes four short double-helical elements and three loops (D, anti-codon, and T loops). Lineage: Bacteria; Pseudomonadati; Thermodesulfobacteriota; Desulfovibrionia; Desulfovibrionales; Desulfovibrionaceae. The record is from RNAcentral.